Molecule: ribosomal RNA, 433 nt
Filed under: uncultured bacterium
Lineage: Bacteria
Description: partial 16S ribosomal RNA
Rfam family: Bacterial small subunit ribosomal RNA
Source: RNAcentral
AACGAACGCUGGCGGCAUGCCUAACACAUGCAAGUCGAACGAGACCUUCGGGUCUAGUGGCGCACGGGUGCGUAACGCGUGGGAACCUGCCCUUAGGUUCGGAAUAACUCCCCGAAAGGGGUGCUAAUACCGGAUAAUGUCUUCGGACCAAAGAUUUAUCGCCUUUGGAUGGGCCCGCGUUGGAUUAGCUAGUUGGUAGGGUAAAAGCCUACCCAGGCGACGAUCCAUAGCUGGUCUGAGAGGCUGAUCAGCCACACUGGGACUGAGACACGGCCCAGACUCCUACGGGAGGCAGCAGUGGGGAAUAUUGGACAAUGGGCGAAAGCCUGAUCCAGCAAUGCCGCGUGAGUGAUGAAGGCCUUAGGGUUGUAAAGCUCUUUUACCCGGGAUGAUAAUGACAGUACCGGGAGAAUAAGCUCCGGCUAACUCCGUG